Molecule: ribosomal RNA, 495 nt
Filed under: uncultured bacterium
Lineage: Bacteria
Description: partial 16S ribosomal RNA
Rfam family: Bacterial small subunit ribosomal RNA
Source: RNAcentral
GACGGACGCUGGCGGCGUGCCUAAUACAUGCAAGUAGAACGCUGAAGGAGGAGCUUGCUUCUCUGGAUGAGUUGCGAACGGGUGAGUAACGCGUAGGUAACCUGCCUGGUAGCGGGGGAUAACUAUUGGAAACGAUAGCUAAUACCGCAUAAGAGUAGAUGUUGCAUGACAUUUGCUUAAAAGGUGCAAUUGCAUCACUACCAGAUGGACCUGAGUUGUAUUAGCGAGAUGGUUGGGUAACGGCUUACCAAGGUGACGAUACAUAGCCGACGCGGGAAGGGGGUCGGCCAACAUUGGAAUGGAGACCCGCCCCAACUCCUUCCGGAGGCCACAGUAGGGGAUCAUCGGCAAUGGACGGAAGUCUGACCGAGCAACGGCGCGUGAGUGAAGAAGGUUUUCGGAUCGUAAAGCUCUGUUGUGAGGGAAGAACGAGUGUGAGGGUGGAAAGUUCACGCUGUGACGGUAUCUUACCAGAAAGCGACGGCUAACUACGUG